CCUACGGGAGGCUGCAGUGGGGAAUAUUGCACAAUGGGCGCAAGCCUGAUGCAGCCAUGCCGCGUGUGUGAAGAAGGCCUUCGGGUUGUAAAGCACUUUCAGCGGGGAGGAAGGCGUUAAGGUUAAUAACCUUGGCGAUUGACGUUACCCGCAGAAGAAGCACCGGCUAACUCCGUGCCAGCAGCCGCGGUAAUACGGAGGGUGCAAGCGUUAAUCGGAAUUACUGGGCGUAAAGCGCACGCAGGCGGUCUGUCAAGUCGGAUGUGAAAUCCCCGGGCUCAACCUGGGAACUGCAUUCGAAACUGGCAGGCUAGAGUCUUGUAGAGGGGGGUAGAAUUCCAGGUGUAGCGGUGAAAUGCGUAGAGAUCUGGAGGAAUACCAGUGGCGAAGGCGGCCCCCUGGACAAAGACUGACGCUCAGGUGCGAAAGCGUGGGGAGCAAACAGGAUUAGAUACCCGUGUAGUC
RNAcentral lists this ribosomal RNA (465 nucleotides) under uncultured Klebsiella sp. RNAcentral describes it as "bacterial SSU rRNA". It matches the Rfam family "Bacterial small subunit ribosomal RNA", at positions 338 to 795 of the family's 1533-position model. Lineage: Bacteria; Pseudomonadati; Pseudomonadota; Gammaproteobacteria; Enterobacterales; Enterobacteriaceae. The record is from RNAcentral.